UUAGAGUUUGAUCAUGGCUCAGAACGAACGCUGGCGGCGUGGAUAAGACAUGCAAGUCGGACGAGAUUUUUCGUUGUAGCAAUACGAUGGAAAGUCUAGUGGCGAACGGGUGCUUAACACGUGGGCAACCUGCCAAGAAGUGGGGGAUAGCUCGCCGAAAGGCGAAUUAAUACCGCAUGUGAUUAGAGGAGACAUCUUUUCAAAAUUAAAGUCGGGGCAACCUGACGCUUCUUGUGGGGCCCGCGGCCUAUCAGCUUGUUGGUGAGGUAACGGCUCACCAAGGCUUUGACGGGUAGCUGGUCUGAGAGGACGACCAGCCACACUGGGACUGAGACACGAGCUAGACACCUACGGGUGGCAGCAGUCGAGAAUUUUUGACAAUGGGGGAAACCCUGAUCGAGCGACGCCGCGUGGAGGAUGAAGGUCUUCGGAUUGUAAACUCCUGUCAUUGGGGAACAAUGCACAGAUAUUAACUGUAUUUGUGUUGAUAGUACCCGAAGAGGAAGAGACGGCUAACUCUGUGCCAGCAGCCGCGGUAAUACAGAGGUCUCAAGCGUUGUUCGGAUUCAUUGGGCGUAAAGGGUGCGUAGGCGGCGCGGUAAGUCGGGUGUGAAAUCUCGGGGCUUAACUCCGAAACUGCAUUCGAUACUGCCGUGCUUGAGGACUGGAGAGGAGACUGGAAUUUACGGUGUAGCGGUGAAAUGCGUAGAUAUCGUAAGGAAGACCAGUGGCGAAGGCGGGUCUCUGGACAGUUCCUGACGCUGAGGCACGAAGGUCAGGGGAGCAAACGGGAUUAGAUACCCCGGUAGUCCUGACAGUAAACGGUGCACGUUUGGUGUGGGAGGAUUCGACCCCUUCUGCGCCGGAGCUUAC
RNAcentral lists this ribosomal RNA (873 nucleotides) under uncultured bacterium. RNAcentral's name for it is "bacterial SSU rRNA". It matches the Rfam family "Bacterial small subunit ribosomal RNA", at positions 1 to 856 of the family's 1533-position model. The record is from RNAcentral.